This is a non-coding RNA of Vicia faba (fava bean), 276 nucleotides long. The record is from the annotation of a GenBank genome assembly. Lineage: Eukaryota; Viridiplantae; Streptophyta; Magnoliopsida; Fabales; Fabaceae.
AUGGCAGAGUGUAACAGAGAAGAUUAUUUCGUUGCCAAUGACGUUGAGUCAACAUCUGGGGGCAAGAAAUAUGGUGGGCUUGUCCCAAAGAAAAAGCCUUUGAUUUCCAAAGAUAAUGAAAGGGCAUUUUUUGAUUCAGCAGACUGGGCAUUAUGCAAGCAAGGUGCUGGAGUGAGUCAACAAUCUACUGCAGCAGUUGAGACCCUGCGACCAAAACUACAGAAAACUCCACAUCAACAACUUCCCCCAAGAAGACCAGCAUGCACAUCUGGUUGA